AUGCAAGUCGAGCGGAUGAAGGGAGCUUGCUCCUGGAUUCAGCGGCGGACGGGUGAGUAAUGCCUAGGAAUCUGCCUGGUAGUGGGGGAUAACGUCCGGAAACGGGCGCUAAUACCGCAUACGUCCUGAGGGAGAAAGUGGGGGAUCUUCGGACCUCACGCUAUCAGAUGAGCCUAGGUCGGAUUAGCUAGUUGGUGGGGUAAAGGCCUACCAAGGCGACGAUCCGUAACUGGUCUGAGAGGAUGAUCAGUCACACUGGAACUGAGACACGGUCCAGACUCAUACGGGAGGCAGCAGUGGUGAAUAUUGGACAAUGGGCGAAAGCCUGAUCCAGCCAUGCCGCGUGUGUGAAGAAGGUCUUCGGAUUGUAAAGCACUUUAAGUUGGGAGGAAGGGCAGUAAGUUAAUACCUUGCUGUUUUGACGUUACCAACAGAAUAAGCACCGUCUAACUUCGUGCCAGCAGCCGCGGUAAUACGAAGGGUGCAAGCGUUAAUCGUGAAUUACUGGGCGUAAAGCGCGCGUAGGUGGUUCAGCAAGUUGUAUGUUAAAUCCCCGGGCUCAACCUGGGAACUGCAUCCAAAACUACUGAGCUAGAGUACGGUAGAGGGUGGUGUAAUUUCCUGUGUAGCGGUGAAAUGCGUAGAUAUAGGAAGGAACACCAGGUGGCGAAGGCGACCACCUGGACUGAUACUGACACUGAGGUGCGAAAGCGGGGGGGAGCAAAACAGAAUUAGAUACCCUGGUAGUCCACGCCGUAAACGAUGUCGACUAGCCGUUGGGAAUCCUUUGAAGAUCUUAGGGGCCGCCAGCUA
Molecule: ribosomal RNA, 813 nt
Filed under: Pseudomonas aeruginosa
Lineage: Bacteria; Pseudomonadati; Pseudomonadota; Gammaproteobacteria; Pseudomonadales; Pseudomonadaceae
Description: bacterial SSU rRNA
Rfam family: Bacterial small subunit ribosomal RNA
Source: RNAcentral